RNAcentral lists this long non-coding RNA (1748 nucleotides) under Marmota monax (woodchuck). Lineage: Eukaryota; Metazoa; Chordata; Mammalia; Rodentia; Sciuridae. The record is from RNAcentral.
CAGCAUAUGUCUGAUUUCUAUUUGAAUGCUUUCACCCAAAACAUUAGAUCAUUAAACUAUACCAUUCAUUUUGAUCAUGGUCUGUGUUUCUUGGGGACCAUCUUUACUUUUAGGAAAUAUACCCUGAAGUGCUUAACAGUAAAGUAUCACAAUAUAUGCAAUUUACUUUCAAUUAGUUAAAAAAUGUAUAUUUAUAGAGACAGUUAAAGCCUUGUUAACAACUGGUGGAUCCAGCUGAAGGAUACUGUAUAUUUCUUCAAUACUCCUAUAGGAUUGAAAAUUAACCAAAUAAGGGAAAUAUUUCACUCAAUGAAAACACCAUUGCCCAACAUGCUUUUCAACAUUCUUUACACUACUAAUCAUAACUGUGUGCUCUUUGCAUGAUAAGUAUCACAGUAACCCAUGUAUCACAAACAGAUGCUUAUAUUUAGCUGUGAUAUCCCAGUGCAGGGAUUCCUACAUUCCUUGUUAUUUCAUAAUCCUUUCAUAGAGGAUUAUGAAAUAACAAGAGAAAUAGGACUGCGCUUUUCUGGAUGACACUUUUCUCAUACUUUCAAAGACUCUUAUGACCUCAAUUUAAGAACCAUCAUCCUAAAAGGACACAAUCCCUUAGGCCACAAGGACCUAAGUUUAAUAAAGAUGACACAAAAUCAAUGAGGAUAUCAAAUCUUGUAUAACAGUGUAGAAAAUGAAAACCAGAGAUAAUUUUCUACCCUUUACUUUGGAAAACUCUUUUAAGGGUGACUUUGCAGGGUGUGGUGGUGCACGCCCAUAAUCCCAGUGACUGAAGGAUCACAACUUAGACACUGUCUCAAAAAAUGAAAAGGGCUGGAGAUAUCAUAAGGUCCUUGCUUAGCAUUUGGAUGGCCAUCUUAAAUGACAGUCACCAUUUUAAGGAAAAAGUUUCACUUUCCUGCCCCAGGGCCUUUCUGAAAAAGACUCACCACUCCCUCAUACCAACCCAACCCUAACCAUCUGCAUUAGGACCCAGCCGCAUUAGGAUCCAGACGGCUCUGAGCCUCCCCCAUAAAAGUCCCAGAACUCAAGCCUGUUUUGCCUUUCUCUCCUAUAGUGAGAUGGCCUUUAUUUGUCAGCUCUGACAAACUCUCAUGUGUAUCUCUGCCUGGUCUCCAUCUUUCAUGUCUCGCUUACCCAUCUCUCAUUCCUCACUUUCCCUUCAGUAGUGAUGCACCCCUGCAUUCAAUCCCCAGUACUAAAAGUAAACUAAUUUAUGUUUCAGGUUUUUUUCCACCUCUUCUAUAAAAAUCGCUGAGUGAUGAGACAUGCGGUCUCAUGUAAGAGUAGCUACUGAUGGCUACCAAUAGAAAGUAUGACUCUAUUAAAGAACUUCAUGGCAGUAUCUUCCCAUUAUCACACUCCACAGGGCCAGUGGAUAUCUUACAUACUUCUCUAAUUCUCACUACCACCCUCUAAGGGUGAGGUAGUGAGAUGAAGAAAUUAAGUCUCAAAAAAUUUAAGCAAAUUAUUAUUCGAGGCCAUGACAGUUGUCCCCAGCAAAGCUCUGAAACCUGGCCCUCUCUAUAGUUUAUUCAAAUAUAUGUCAUAAUUUUUCCACCAAACUCUAUAUCAUGACAUUUCUAAUUUGUUUCUCUUGUGAAGGACUUUAACCUCUGUACAGCUUAGCACAGUUGCCUUCAAAUGUUCACACUAACCUUUCCAUUUCUAAACCACCAAAAUAUACUUUUGUAACAGUGGUCUACUUUAUGCUUUGAAUAUAGCCUUUGCCA